GAAUUGGGACGCCCGGGCCUUGCUUGCUGCCCUUGGCUUGUGCAUGUCCCUCAGAUAAAGCCUAUUCUUUACCCAUGCCAUGUGACAUUGCAAAAUCCACCUUUAUCCCCCUCACCACACUGCAGAAAAGCCAAAACAAGCAGAACAUCAUAAAAACAGCCCAAGAGAAGAGUCAGAUACCUAACAAGAGACCACAAGUAGAGUGACAGCCGACUUCCUCCUCAACGGUGAAGACCAAGAGCUGAGAGGAAAAUCUCUCUCACAUUGUGGGCCCAGCAAACUUCUUCCAAGAAUGAGAGCAAAAUGAAUUUGGAGGAAACCGAGGAGAAGCAGUUGGAUGUAGCUGCCUUCAGGCAUCUGGUCCAGAU
Molecule: long non-coding RNA, 368 nt
Filed under: Equus asinus (donkey)
Lineage: Eukaryota; Metazoa; Chordata; Mammalia; Perissodactyla; Equidae
Description: lncRNA (ENSEASG00005025308.1)
Source: RNAcentral